CAAGUUUAUACUGUAUAUGAUGGUUUUUUGUGUCAGGAUUAUGUCGGUAGGUAAUUGUUUUGUUUAUGCCAGAUGCCCAAGAAACCAGCAGGUGACCCGGAUUCCAUUUUCACAGUCCUCUGUUCAUCAAAAGAGGUCAUAGUCCAAAAUGGCAAUGUAGCUACUCCUUAAUCAGAGCAUCUGGACAAAGCUUAGUGAGCAGCUAGAAAACAAGAUCACUGUAAAGGCUCUAUAUUCUUUUGUUAAAUUGAACAGACACAACAUCUGGACUGCUUUAGGUUUUAUUUAUGAACGUGAUCAUGAAACAAGUGGCAGUAGUGAUGACACUGAUCUUGAGCCGGGGUCCCUUUCCCCCAGACCAAAAGAUUGCUGGACUUUUUUGCAAAAAUGAAACUUUUAUCAGCACAAACCAUUGAGACUGUUUGGGCUGAAUUUGGAGCAUGUGGGUGGGCUGGUGAUGUAAUCGCCUAGAACUUAAUGUCUAAUAUUUAAAAAACGGAAGCAGCACGAACACAACUUUUAUCGGCACAAACGGAGCACGAACGAUUGAGACUAUUUAGGAUGAAUUUGGAGUAUUGGGAGUGGCCUCAGAAUGACCUAUAAAUAUUCUUUUAAUAUCUCCAAAUCCGAAGAAACACAAAUGAGAAUAUUCAACUAUUGAAUAUUUUGCCAACGUUUUGCAUUGGGAGGGGGGGGCAACUUCACACAGGUGCUAAAAAGAGCAUGACGCGGACAACUGUGUGGAGAACGGCUACAGUAUAGCUACGGUGCCCUGGGAGGUGUGGCUAAAUGUGCAAUAUUACAUACAAAUCAUACAAGACUAAAAUAUGGGGGGGGCUGGAAUUGUUUCAGAUAUUGAGGUGUUGACUGUGGCAAAGUUAGAUUUAUUUUAUUUUUGGAUAGUAGCACAUGAACAGUACACCAAACUAUUACACAAAUACAUGAUUUAAGUGUCAUCAAAAAUUUAAGUCUAAAAACCCCAUGAUUCGGAGGUAGAGGAACUUUAUCUGUGCCACUGAAAUGUUAAGGACUGUUGCUGCAAAAAAGUCAAGUGUGAGAAGUUUGACAUCACCAACCACAUAAUUUCAGAAGGGUCUUCUUGACUAGGAGCCAUGCAGUUCAAGCCACUUCAAGUAACUACAGCCCAUGCAGGAAACCUAGCUAAAUAUUGGGUGGAAAGAACUAAAACACAUCCUAUUAAAGCCAGUAGCUCUAAAGUUACAACAAAAAGCGCCGUCCACUGCACAACAUAUUUGUAAUUGAGGUUGGUUUAUGAAUGUAGGUUAGUUUCUCUCAGAGAAGAUCAAAAUCCUGUUGUCAAUUGUUUUAUUUUUUCUUCAAAGUCGGUUUUAAAUGUUGAUAUGCAAAAAUAAAUAAAUAUCUCUCUGUGGCAUGGAGUCCAUAUAAGCUGCGAAUGCUCUGCGUCCCCGAGCCAUUUGAGAGAAUGAGAGCGGUGAUUGGCUAAUUAUUAAUAUUACUAUAAAUUUGUCAUUUGAGGUGUAGCAUCAAGCUUACAUACUAAAAUGUUAACUGUCAAUAAAUUAUGUAUUCGCCAAACGACUAAUUUUCUGCCAUCUGUUUCAGUUAUGGAGGGAUUGAGGCGAGCGGAUCCGCAACAGCUUUUGCGCCAAAGCUCUCUUGCUAUGACUCGUUCUCAUUGUUCUGUGUUCUUGUCGGUUUGUUGGCACACGGGUGAUUUCAUGCGCAGGAGAAGCGGUCACCGAAUCGCUCGUCCAAGUGGAAAAACAACUCGCGGUUGCCAGAUCUCGAUUAGCGAAAAUCACGAAGUAUUUGAAACCUUACUAAUGCUGCUAAAUCAAACGGACAACAGUUGUAAGUCUAUAUUUUCAUGUUUUCUCAAGCAAAACAAGUGUUGAACGUCCACUGAAACAUAUCACCUUAGAUUUUGUUGGUGUAGACAAAGCAUGUUUAAAGUGUCAUGAAACACUAAACUUCAUUUUCUGAGAUUGUGAGGGGGGAAAUUACUCACUUUUACUUUGUGAUAAUUUUGUUCUUGUUCUAUUUCUUUCUCAUCAGGGGAUUACGCCUAAGAAGGCUAUGUCAUGUCACUGAGAUCAGUACAGAAUGUUUAUCUGCUUAGAGACACAAACAUCAUGUUCUGUUCAAGGUUCAUCUGCACAUCUUCUGAGACCCUUAAACAAAGCCUAUUUGAACUGCCUCAAAACACUUCUUAUCGACUGCGCGAGUCUUUUCAGCUUUUCUGGACAGCAUGCAACCCGGAGGCGCUGUGGAGAAGUUUUCACCCUGAAGUCCGUGUUGACACGCAGGCGGUUUGCCCUUUGUUGUGCAGAGCGAAAGACCGAUGCAGUCUUGCCACUGACCGUUAGGAAUCAUCACGAAACAGCCUUAAGGUGCAGACCGCGUCAUACUCCCAGAGAAGUACGCAACUUUGACAACCUACGCUCUCUGAACGUGGCCUCUGCAGAUUAGCUCUCGUUCUCGGACUUUGGAACUGCCAAUCUGCCGUCGACAAGGCAGAUUUCAUUCCUGCCUUUGCAACCCACUCCAACCUCAGUGUGUUGUCUCUGACUGAGACCUGGAUCCAUACUGAACACUGCCACUUCAACUUCUCCCAUACCUCAUGUCCCAACAGGCGAGGGAGUGAUACAGGUCAACUGUGGAAGUUCAUCGAUGAAUUUGACAUGCUACUGUCCACCAUACCGGAUGAUGGAACUCCUCCUGUGGUCCUUGGUGACUUCGACAUUCAUCUAGACAAGCCACAUGAUUUUCUUGCUCACCUUCUCACAUUUGACCUCAAGCAGUUCAUCACACCAGCAACCCACAAAACCGGCAAACAGCUCGACCUCAUCCUCACACAACAACCUCCUGGACACCAAGCAGUCUGGCUUCGAGAGCAAUCGCUCCACGGAGACCGCUCUGCUUUCGGUCACCGAAGCCUUACGACUAGCAAGAGCAACCUCUAGAUCCUACUCGACCUCUCUGCUGCUUUCGACACUGUGAACCGUCCGAUUCUCCUGUCGAUUCUGUCAAGCCCGGGCAUCGCUGGAACGGUUCUGCGCCGGGUGGAAUCCUAUCUCUCGGACAGAUCCUUCAAGGUAUCGUGGAGGGGAGGUAUUUCUGAAACUUGGCAACUCUCAAAGGCGUUCCACAGGGGUCAGUUCUGGGUCCACUGCUCUUUUCUAUCUACACUACAUCUCUAGGGCAGGUGAUUGAGUCUCAUGGCUUUGCAUAUCAUCGAUUAUGCUGACGACACCCAGCUCUAUUUGUCCUUCCAUCUCGGUCUGGAUGAGGGAACAACCUGGCAAAAUCUGAGAUUCUCGUCACCCCAGCCUCUCCCUCAAUCAACCACAACCUCACUGUACAGCUCGGCUCGACCACACUCGAGCCAACCAGGACGGCCAGGAACCUUGGGUGAUUCUCGAUGACGGCUUGACCUUGACGGACCACAUCUCAACAACUGCACGGUCCUGUACAACAUCGAGAAAGUCGGAUCCUACCUCACCAAACAGGCUACGUAGAUACUAGUCCAGGCUCUUGUUAUCUCAAAACUGGACUACUGCAACUCGCUACUCUCGGGCCUCCCGGCCGGCUCCAUCGAACACCUUCAAAAGAUUUCAGGAUGCAGCGGCAUGCCUCGUCUCCAACCAGCUCGAGAGAACCCGUGUCUCGUCUCCCUCCACUGGCUUCCUGUAGCCGCCCGCAUCAAAUUCAAGGCCUUGAUGCUCUCCUACAAGACCUUGUCUGGAUCAGCACCCUCCUACCUCAACUCUCUCUCCUGAAGGCUUGCGUUCCCUCACGCAGUCUGCGAUCGAUCGAUGACCGAUGCUUGGUAGUACCUACACUGCGUGGCUUAAGGUCCCUUUCAAGAACCUUCAAACUAACACUUCCAACCUCAAUCCGGAC
Molecule: long non-coding RNA, 3885 nt
Organism: Ictalurus punctatus (channel catfish)
Lineage: Eukaryota; Metazoa; Chordata; Actinopteri; Siluriformes; Ictaluridae
Source: Ensembl